AUACUUAGCACAUUGGCGAGAAUCCCUCGAUGAUCCCGACACUAAGAUAAUUCGACCUCAACAGGUAUACACUGGGGAAUGGCUACGACAUUACAUUCCUCCAAAAGAACGACUUGUACCGGCCAAAGCAGACAGGCUCGGUCAGGUUUCCGUUUCCAAUGCCUCCAAGCGUCGGCUGUCUGGAUCAGGGAUCUAGACUAUUUGGGAUGCAUACUUAUGGAAUGUAGGAGAAUAAAACAAAUGCAUCGCAAGGAAAGCAAAACUUGUUGGUUGGUUCAAUCACACUGCCUGAAUACGAAACAGAGAUGCAAAGGAGAAUGUUUAGAGAUAGAUCUCCACAAAAAAUAAAUGUCACUGCCAAUUGUAUGCAGUGACUAAGUUUCUUGUUUUACAAGGAAGUGCUAUUGUAAGUUAUUUCUUUGCAUAUUAUUUUUAUUUAUUUAUUAUUUUAAUUUUAAUUUUCCAUAUUUAUAUUUA
Non-coding RNA from Benincasa hispida (wax gourd), 477 nucleotides. NCBI's taxonomy places the organism in Eukaryota, Viridiplantae, Streptophyta, Magnoliopsida, Cucurbitales, Cucurbitaceae. The record is from RefSeq and is a predicted model, not a curated record.